This 480-nucleotide ribosomal RNA is filed under the name uncultured bacterium. RNAcentral describes it as "bacterial SSU rRNA". It matches the Rfam family "Bacterial small subunit ribosomal RNA", at positions 50 to 514 of the family's 1533-position model. The record is from RNAcentral.
GCUAACUGCAGUCGAAGCGAGACAUUGGAGCUUGCUCCUCUGGGUUAACUGCAGACGGGUGAGUACACCUGGGCAACCUGCCCUGCAGAUCGGGAUAACUCCGGUGAAACCGACUGCUAAUACCCAAUAGUUUGCAGCCUCUCAUGAGGCUGCCCGGAUAGACCGUUUCGGCUGUCACUGCAGGAUGGGCCCGCGGAGCAUUAUCUAGUUGGUUAGGUAACGGCUCACCAAGGCCACGAUGCGUAGCCCACCUGAGAGGGUGAUCGGCCACACUGUCACUGAGACUCGGCCCAAACUCCUACGGGAGGUAGCACUAGGGAAUCUUCCGCAAUGGACGAAAGUCUGACGGAGCAACUCCGCGAGAGUGAAGAAGGGUUUCGGAUCGUAAAACUCUGUUGUGAGGGAUGAACAAGUACCAUAUAACUACUAGUACCUUGACGGUACCUCACCAGAAAGCCACGGCUAACUACGUGCCAACAC